Molecule: ribosomal RNA, 440 nt
Filed under: uncultured bacterium
Lineage: Bacteria
Description: bacterial SSU rRNA
Rfam family: Bacterial small subunit ribosomal RNA
Source: RNAcentral
CCUACGGGGGGCAGCAGUGGGGAAUAUUGCACAAUGGGCGCAAGCCUGAUGCAGCCAUGCCGCGUGGAGGAUGAAGGUCCUCUGGAUUGUAAACUUCUUUUAUCUGGGAAGAAAUGGUUGCUUUCUAGCGAUCUUGACGGUACCAGAUGAAUAAGCACCGGCUAACUCCGUGCCAGCAGCCGCGGUAAUACGGAGGGUGCAAGCGUUAUCCGGAUUCACUGGGUUUAAAGGGUGCGUAGGCGGAACAGAAAGUCCGUUGUGAAAUCUCCGAGCUUAACUCGGAAAUUGCGGUGGAUACUAUUGUUCUUGAAUACUGUGGAGGUUAGCGGAAUAUGUCAUGUAGCGGUGAAAUGCUUAGAUAUGACAUAGAACACCGAUUGCGAAGGCAGCUGACUACACGGUGAUUGACACUGAGGCACGAAAGCGUGGGGAUCAAACAG